GAUGAACGCUGGCGGCGUGCCUAAUACAUGCAAGUCGAGCGAACUGAUUAGAAGCUUGCUUCUAUGACGUUAGCGGCGGACGGGUGAGUAACACGUGGGCAACCUGCCUGUAAGACUGGGAUAACUUCGGGAAACCGAAGCUAAUACCGGAUAGGAUCUUCUCCUUCAUGGGAGAUGAUUGAAAGAUGGUUUCGGCUAUCACUUACAGAUGGGCCCGCGGUGCAUUAGCUAGUUGGUGAGGUAACGGCUCACCAAGGCAACGAUGCAUAGCCGACCUGAGAGGGUGAUCGGCCACACUGGGACUGAGACACGGCCCAGACUCCUACGGGAGGCAGCAGUAGGGAAUCUUCCGCAAUGGACGAAAGUCUGACGGAGCAACGCCGCGUGAGUGAUGAAGGCUUUCGGGUCGUAAAACUCUGUUGUUAGGGAAGAACAAGUACGAGAGU
Molecule: ribosomal RNA, 446 nt
Filed under: Bacillus sp. DB2-27
Lineage: Bacteria; Bacillati; Bacillota; Bacilli; Caryophanales; Bacillaceae
Description: bacterial SSU rRNA
Rfam family: Bacterial small subunit ribosomal RNA
Source: RNAcentral